UAAUAAGUGUUUUAUGCACUUUUAAAUCCAUAUCCACCUUGUGUGCAAUGUCAGUCGAUCUUCUUCAUGGAGAUCGACCAAACAUCAACCUUUAUUUUUUAACUCUUUGUCUGAAAAAUAUUAUGAAUAAACAAUUCAAAAUA
This 143-nucleotide unclassified non-coding RNA is filed under the name soil metagenome. Its description in RNAcentral is "partial internal transcribed spacer 1". The record is from RNAcentral.